RNAcentral lists this ribosomal RNA (503 nucleotides) under uncultured bacterium. RNAcentral's name for it is "partial 16S ribosomal RNA". It matches the Rfam family "Bacterial small subunit ribosomal RNA", at positions 28 to 523 of the family's 1533-position model. The record is from RNAcentral.
GAUGAACGCUAGCGGCAGGCCUAACACAUGCAAGUCGAGGGGUAGCAGGAUUAAGCUUGCUUAAUUGCUGACGACCAGCGCACGGGUGCGUAACGCGUAUGCAACCUACCUUAUACUGGGGUAUAGCCCGGAGAAAUUCGGAUUAAUCCCCCAUAGUACUAAUGAAUCGCAUGGUUUAUUAGUUAAAGCAUUGCGGUAUAAGAUGGGCAUGCGUCCUAUUAGCUAGAUGGUGAGGUAACGGCUCACCAUGGCUACGAUAGGUAGGGGGCCUGAGAGGGUGGUCCCCCACACUGGUACGGAGACACGGACCAGACUCCUACGGGAGGCAGCAGUGAGGAAUAUUGGUCAAUGGGCGCAAGCCUGAACCAGCCAUGCCGCGUGCAGGAAGAAUGCCCUAUGGGUUGUAAACUGCUUUUAUUUGGGAAUAAACCUCUUUACGUGUAGAGAGCUGAAGGUACCAAAUGAAUAAGCACCGGCUAACUCCGUGCCAGCAGCCGCCGUAA